AUAUCACUGCGAUCCUCGUCUUCCCAUCCCUGGAUCCGGAGCCGACAGGGGCCGCCGCCGCGUGAUGUGA
This 70-nucleotide non-coding RNA is filed under the name Azadinium spinosum. The record is from RNAcentral. Lineage: Eukaryota; Dinophyceae; Gonyaulacales; Amphidomataceae.